CUUAUAAGAAUUAACUCUCUCAAUAAUGUCAUCAUUAUACGAUACAGAAAUAUUUUUAAACCUAGAACUGGCAUAAAUAGUAGUGAAAACCAUAAGCUUUGUUUUUUUUUAUAUUUAAAGUAUAUGAAUAUAUAUUUAUAAGUAUAUGAAUAUAUGUUAUUGAUAUGUAUAAAAUAAAUUUAUAAUGUUGAUUAUUAUUGUUAUUUAUUAUAGAAGCGAAACGACGAAAACUUGACGAGUUCUGUUCAAGUACAGAUCCAAGAAUAUACUGCAUUAAACUUGACGAGUUCAGAUGAAGUAGAGGGAUGUUGGAAAUGGUUUGAAAUUUAAUUCCAGCUAUUCUGGCUUGUAGUGGAAGUGCUGCGUUAACAACCUCAGUGUUUUACUGCUCUUGAAAUAAAAAUAAACUCUGUGUUGUAUGUGCCAGAAAAAAAUAGAGAAACUGUAGUUGUUCCUUGAAUGACAUGUACAGUAUUAAUAUGAUGUUAUUAAAAGUGACUGGAAAUAAAUAAUAAAGUAGAUUCAUCAACAAGACAUACGUAGGCUUACUGACAAGCAAUGCACACAAGCAUUCACACUGUUAUUGUUGAAAUAUGAGUUUGCUAAUAAAGAAAGGAAACG
Long non-coding RNA from Anneissia japonica, 621 nucleotides. RefSeq lists it as uncharacterized. Lineage: Eukaryota; Metazoa; Echinodermata; Crinoidea; Comatulida; Comatulidae. The transcript has 2 exons. The record is from RefSeq and is a predicted model, not a curated record.